UUUCAGAUUAAUCUGAACCAGAGCAUGUCAUUUCCGUCAAUCCGUCAUCAUCGUCCAGAAGAUGAUGUGAAAUGGAGGAUCAUUACCAUUUAAGGACACGUUGAGUUGAAUCAGAUGUAAAUUUAAUUGGUGAGGGUCUGAAUGAGUGGCAGCGGCGCGAAGGAAGACGGGAUGGCUGGAUCGAAAUGCAACGGGACCAGCGAAAUGAGUUUCUGCAGCCCCAUUCCAUUGAGAGAAGAUCCUCAAUCAGGUUGAACAAUGAUGUGUACAGAACUUUGGACACUCAUUUUCAUUUUGCCAUUCAGAACCUCUUCUCCUCUGCCGCUCAGCUAAGCCCACCAUCUGAUUACGUCGUCAAGGUCUUCCUUCUGAUGAGAUCGACGAUCAAUUUCGUUCUUAGUUAAGUGGUUUUUUGUGCACUAGCUUGCUUGGCUUCUUCCCACAUCUAUGUGUUUCAAUCUCUAUCUCUGUAAAUAGUGUUGCUUUUAUUUUUUAACUGUGCAAGUUGGGUACUGAGUGAUAUCUUUGAAAAGUUUUAAAUUUACAUUUCUCUCAUUACUUUGUGCUUAUAGUUUUCCUUUUUCAUUUCUCUCAUGGUAUAUAACUAAAAGCCAUUUUGUCAUUUGGAACUCAAGGAUGAUUAUGACAUUGGAGAAUGGCCAUCAUUGGCAAAAGAAUGUGCUAUAUACUGGAUUAGUUUAUAUUUGCCUUCUUGGCUAGGGUAAAAUUAAAAGGGAUUUGUUGAAUAUCGAGCUAAGCUACAGGUUGAGUUUCAAAAGAAAGUUUCAGAUAUAACACUAUUAUUCUAUUUGUUAAAUGCAGCUGCUAAACUAUCCUUUUAUCUGAUUCUGACAUGAUGCAUUCACUCAUUUCCUUCAUGCUUUACCAUGAAUACGGAGUAACAGAGAUUUUGGAGCUUAUAAUGUCAAGCGACUUGAGCAAGAGAUUGAAGCAAAAAUCCAGUGCUUGAAAACCGAAGCUGCAAUAAUAUCGAAUGAUGUGUUAGAGGACAAAUGUGUUGUCCUUGAAAGCAAAGUCCAUCAUUCUUGGUUAAGAAAAUAAAUCAAUUUUGAUCUUGAGAUUGUCAACUGAAGAAGAAAGAAGCUUAAUGGAAGAAGAGAGCAGGUGCCCUUGAAAGAAAGGUGUUGAUUGUCGCAAGAGAGAAGCUGAAUGGAAGAAGAGAGAAUCUGCAUUGCAUCUUGAAGUUAAGAACCUCACAGAGGUAUCCUUUAUGAAUGGGUUCUGCCUAGGUUAGAGCUGGCUGAGAGAAGAACGGAGCACAGUGCAGGUUGUGCCAAGAAGAAGUCAAUGGAAGAGUCAUUCACAAGAGGAUCAUGAAGCUCACUCCUGGAAACAUCAAAUACAGUACCAAGUCAAGAGCCUAGAGAAUGUGCAAUUGCAUGUGUUUAGUGAAGGGCCUCAAACAGUCCUCUUUGUGACAGGAGAAUGUGAAAUCAAGCUAGCAUUAAUUUUAAAGUGAUCCAUGUUUAUUUAUCAUUAAAAAGUGAUAUGACAUUGGUGAAUGUCAUAUGUUACAUUAUCACAUGCUAUUUUUUAUCAGGGCUUAUUUUGUAUGUAAUAAGUUAUUGCCUCUUACAUAUAUGUAAUACCUAUCCUUAUUUAAUAAUUAUUUGUUCCUAAUUA
Long non-coding RNA from Lotus japonicus, 1644 nucleotides. RefSeq lists it as uncharacterized. The transcript has 6 exons. Lineage: Eukaryota; Viridiplantae; Streptophyta; Magnoliopsida; Fabales; Fabaceae. The record is from RefSeq and is a predicted model, not a curated record.